This 324-nucleotide ribosomal RNA is filed under the name Allapsidae sp. Its description in RNAcentral is "SSU rRNA". The stretch from base 111 to 324 matches the Rfam family "Eukaryotic small subunit ribosomal RNA", at positions 741 to 955 of the family's 1831-position model. Lineage: Eukaryota; Cercozoa; Glissomonadida; Viridiraptoridae. The record is from RNAcentral.
GAUUUCUGGCACGAUACGCCUGGCCCGCCGCGGUUUCGCGUGUGAGUGCCGGGUCGAAUCUGCCAUCCUUCCAGAGAACGGUCCUACCCUUCACUGGGCCGGGGCCGCACAUCUGGAUCGUUUACUUUGAAAAAAUUAGAGUGUUUCAAGCAGGCGACUCGCUGUGAAUACAUUAGCAUGGAAUAAUAACUUAGGACUUCGGUUCUAUUUUGUUGGUUUCUAGAACUGAAGUAAUGAUUGAUAGGGAUAGUUGGGGGUGCUAGUAUUCAGCGGCCAGAGGUGAAAUUCUCGGAUUCGCUGAAGACUAACUUAUGCGAAAGCAUU